AUUGAAAUAGCUCAAAAAGAGCUUUGCAUUGAAGCUGCAAAGGUGGCUAUGGCCUUU
RNAcentral lists this transfer RNA (57 nucleotides) under Notochthamalus scabrosus. RNAcentral describes it as "tRNA-Phe". Lineage: Eukaryota; Metazoa; Arthropoda; Thecostraca; Balanomorpha; Chthamalidae. The record is from RNAcentral.